RNAcentral lists this ribosomal RNA (301 nucleotides) under uncultured bacterium. RNAcentral describes it as "partial 16S ribosomal RNA". It matches the Rfam family "Bacterial small subunit ribosomal RNA", at positions 510 to 808 of the family's 1533-position model. The record is from RNAcentral.
CGUAGCCGCGGUAAUACAGAGGGUGCGAGCGUUAAUCGGAUUUACUGGGCGUAAAGCGUGCGUAGGCGGCUUUUUAAGUCGGAUGUGAAAUCCCUGAGCUUAACUUAGGAAUUGCAUUCGAUACUGGGAAGCUAGAGUAUGGGAGAGGAUGGUAGAAUUCCAGGUGUAGCGGUGAAAUGCGUAGAGAUCUGGAGGAAUACCGAUGGCGAAGGCAGCCAUCUGGCCUAAUACUGACGCUGAGGUACGAAAGCAUGGGGAGCAAACAGGAUUAGAUACCCCAGUAGUCCCUGUCUCUUAUACA